ACGUAGGUGACAAGCGUUAUCCGGAAUUACUGGGCGUAAAGCGCACGCAGGCGGCGCAUUAAGUCUGACGUGAAAUCUCCUGGCUUAACUGGGAGGGGUCGUUGGAAACUGAUGUGCUUGAGGCGGUGAGAGGGGUGUAGAAUUCCCGGUGUAGUGGUGGAAUGCGUAGAUAUCGGGAGGAAUACCAGUGGCGAAAGCGACACCCUGGCACUGUGCCUGACGCUCAUGUGCGAAGGCGUGGGGAGCGAACGG
Molecule: ribosomal RNA, 252 nt
Filed under: uncultured prokaryote
Description: partial 16S rRNA
Rfam family: Bacterial small subunit ribosomal RNA
Source: RNAcentral